UACGUAGGGUGCAAGCGUUGUCCGGAAUUAUUGGGCGUAAAGAGCUCGUAGGCGGUCUGUCACGUCGGCUGUGAAAACCCGAGGCUCAACCUCGGGCCUGCAGUCGAUACGGGCAGACUAGAGUUCGGUAGGGGGAGACUGGAAUUCCUGGUGUAGCGGUGAAAUGCGCAGAUAUCAGGAGGAACACCGGUGGCGAAGGCGGGUCUCUGGGCCGAAACUGACGCUGAGGAGCGAAAGCGUGGGGAGCGAACAGG
RNAcentral lists this ribosomal RNA (254 nucleotides) under uncultured bacterium. Its description in RNAcentral is "partial 16S ribosomal RNA". It matches the Rfam family "Bacterial small subunit ribosomal RNA", at positions 524 to 776 of the family's 1533-position model. The record is from RNAcentral.